Molecule: ribosomal RNA, 320 nt
Filed under: uncultured Butyrivibrio sp.
Lineage: Bacteria; Bacillati; Bacillota; Clostridia; Lachnospirales; Lachnospiraceae
Description: partial 16S ribosomal RNA
Source: RNAcentral
GGAGUUUGGGCCGUGUCUCAGUCCCAAUGUGGCCGUUCACCCUCUCAGGCCGGCUACUGAUCGUCGCUUUGGUGGGCCGUUACCCCGCCAACUGGCUAAUCAGACGCGGAUCCAUCUCACACCGAUAAAUCUUUUACCCCUGCACCAUGCGGUGCUGUGGUCUUAUGCGGUAUUACCAGCCGUUUCCAGCUGCUAUCCCCCAGUGUGAGGCAGGUUAUCCACGCGUUACUCACCCGUCCGCCACUAAGUUAAGUUCCAUCCGAAAAUUUCCCUUAACCCCGUUCGACUUGCAUGUGUUAGGCACGCCGCCAGCGUUCAUC